Thalassophryne amazonica is the source of this 70-nucleotide small nucleolar RNA. RefSeq annotates it as small nucleolar RNA SNORD47. NCBI's taxonomy places the organism in Eukaryota, Metazoa, Chordata, Actinopteri, Batrachoidiformes, Batrachoididae. The record is from RefSeq and is a predicted model, not a curated record. The transcript has a single exon.
AGCCUGUGAUGAUGAGAUUUUGCCAGAUGACUUCUGAUUAUAUCUUAACCGUUCCAUUUUAACUGAGGCU